RNAcentral lists this transfer RNA (63 nucleotides) under Blattisocius tarsalis. RNAcentral's name for it is "tRNA-Leu". Lineage: Eukaryota; Metazoa; Arthropoda; Arachnida; Mesostigmata; Blattisociidae. The record is from RNAcentral.
ACUAGUUAGGCAGAUAUAGUGCAUUAUAUUUAGAAUAUAAAAAAGAUUUAUAAUCAAUUAGUA